RNAcentral lists this ribosomal RNA (400 nucleotides) under uncultured bacterium. Its description in RNAcentral is "bacterial SSU rRNA". It matches the Rfam family "Bacterial small subunit ribosomal RNA", at positions 28 to 420 of the family's 1533-position model. The record is from RNAcentral.
GACGAACGCUGGCGGCGUGCUUAACACAUGCAAGUGGAGCGACGAACCAGGCUUUCGGCCUGGGGCAGAGCCGCGAACGGGUGAGUAACACGUGGGUAACCUACCUCGAAGACCGGGACAACCCGAGGAAACUCGGGCUAAUACCGGAUGUGGUCACUGUGCACAAGUGCAGUGAACAAAGGAAGCUUCGGCCUCCGCUUCGGGAGGGGCCCGCGGCCCAUUAGCUUGUUGGUGAGGUAACGGCUCACCAAGGCUUCUAUGGGUAGCUGGUCUGAGAGGACGAUCAGCCACACUGGGACUGAGACACGGCCCAGACUCCUACGGGAGGCAGCAGUGGGGAAUCUUGCGCAAUGCACGACAGUGUGACGCAGCGACGCCGCGUGGGGGAAGACGGCCUCGG